Molecule: ribosomal RNA, 372 nt
Filed under: uncultured organism
Description: bacterial SSU rRNA
Rfam family: Bacterial small subunit ribosomal RNA
Source: RNAcentral
CGUAGGGUCCAAGCGUUAUCCGGAAUCACUGGGCGUAAAGCGUGCGUAGGUGGCGCGUUAAGUGAGAUGUGAAACCGUGUGGCCCAACCAUAUCGUUGCAUCUCAUACUGGCGUGCUAGAGGACAGCAGAGGCAAGUGGAAUUAGUAGUGUAGCAGUGAAAUGCGUAGAUAUUACUAGGAACACCAAUGGCGAAGGCAGCUUGCUGGGCUACUCCUGACACUGAGGUACGAAAGCGUGGGGAGCGAACAGGAUUAGAUACCCUGGUAGUCCACGCCGUAAACGAUGCAUACUAGUCUUAUGGGGUAUCGACCCCCUGUGAGACGCAGCUAACGCGAUAAGUAUGCCGCCUGGGAAGUACGGCCGCAAGGCUA